RNAcentral lists this transfer RNA (88 nucleotides) under Gammaproteobacteria bacterium. RNAcentral describes it as "tRNA-Ser". It matches the Rfam family "tRNA". Rfam says of the family: Transfer RNA (tRNA) molecules are approximately 80 nucleotides in length. Their secondary structure includes four short double-helical elements and three loops (D, anti-codon, and T loops). Lineage: Bacteria; Pseudomonadati; Pseudomonadota; Gammaproteobacteria. The record is from RNAcentral.
GGAGAGGUGUCUGAGCGGUCGAAAGAGCACGCCUGGAAAGUGUGUAUACGGCAACGUAUCGAGAGUUCGAAUCUCUCCGUCACCGCCA